RNAcentral lists this unclassified non-coding RNA (293 nucleotides) under uncultured Helotiales. Its description in RNAcentral is "sequence contains ITS1". The stretch from base 1 to 105 matches the Rfam family "5.8S ribosomal RNA", at positions 50 to 154 of the family's 154-position model. The record is from RNAcentral. Lineage: Eukaryota; Fungi; Ascomycota; Leotiomycetes; Helotiales.
GAAAUGCGAUAAGUAAUGUGAAUUGCAGAAUUCAGUGAAUCAUCGAAUCUUUGAACGCACAUUGCGCCCUCUGGUAUUCCGGGGGGCAUGCCUGUUCGAGCGUCAUUACAACCCUCAAGCUCUGCUUGGUAUUAAGCCUCACCUGAAAAGGCGGGCUCUAAAAUCAGUGGCGAUGCCAUUCGGCUUCAAGCGUAGUAAUUUUCUCGCUUUGGAGUACCGGCUGUGUGCCUGCCAUAACCCCAAAUUUAUCAAAGGUUGACCUCGGAUCAGGUAGGGAUACCCGCUGAACUUAA